This 458-nucleotide ribosomal RNA is filed under the name uncultured Rikenellaceae bacterium. Its description in RNAcentral is "bacterial SSU rRNA". It matches the Rfam family "Bacterial small subunit ribosomal RNA", at positions 925 to 1382 of the family's 1533-position model. Lineage: Bacteria; Pseudomonadati; Bacteroidota; Bacteroidia; Bacteroidales; Rikenellaceae. The record is from RNAcentral.
ACAAGCGGAGGAACAUGUGGUUUAAUUCGAUGAUACGCGAGGAACCUUACCUGGGCUAGAACGCACUCGGAAUCAGGCCGAAAGGCCUGCGCCAGCGAUGGCCGCUUGCGAGGUGCUGCAUGGUUGUCGUCAGCUCGUGCCGUGAGGUGUCGGGUUAAGUCCCAUAACGAGCGCAACCCCUACUGCUAGUUGCCAGCGGGUCAUGCCGGGGACUCUAGCGGAACUGCCAGCGUAAGCUGCGAGGAAGGUGGGGGAUGACGUCAAAUCAGCACGGCCCUUACGUCCAGGGCUACACACGUGUUACAAUGGCCGGUACAGAGGGCAGCCACCCCGCGAGGGGGCGCGAAUCCCGAAAGCCGGUCCCAGUUCGGAUCGGAGUCUGCAACCCGACUCCGUGAAGCUGGAUUCGCUAGUAAUCGCGCAUCAGCCACGGCGCGGUGAAUACGUUCCCGGGCCUU